UUUGUCCCCUCACCCCCAGGGUGUCUGACGACAUGUAGCACACAGCUUGAUAUGGUAUCCCAAACAGGUGAGCGUGCCCCGCUCACCCAGAUUCCAAGAACACCAAACCACGUGGACACAAUUUCACCCAUAUUCUCGCAGAUACCUGGGAAUGAUAAAUGCGACAAGAAAUAGACUACUUCUGCGUAUCACUUGAAUUCACCUGGUGGAAAACAGUCUGACCAGAAUGUAAACAUGCUGACACAAGCCAGACUUUCUGGAAGGGCAUCGGGAGAGCACAACUCAGCAAUCCAUAGACAUCCUUCAGUGCUUCUGGCCCGACCUACCUGUCUUAAGUCCAGAGUGAUUGUGACCCAGUGAUAUUCUCUCCCGUUUUGAAUACUGGGGCUUUGCCACCAGUUGUUGGUCCCAUCGAUUGCAUGUGAUAUUGGGUGGCGUUCUGUGAAAAGAAAAAAUAUAGGCGUUCCUCUC
RNAcentral lists this long non-coding RNA (471 nucleotides) under Lynx pardinus (Iberian lynx). Lineage: Eukaryota; Metazoa; Chordata; Mammalia; Carnivora; Felidae. The record is from RNAcentral.